GUUUAGGAUGAUAAAAUCUAUGGAAAGCUCCGAAGGGUUGACUUCGUCACGACUGGCACGACGUGCGUGUGCAUGUUUCUGGAAAUUGCGGGAUUGUUUCUGCAUUGAAGAAUGCAGCAAUGGGAUCGUUGGAACAGUUCCGCCUCUUUCCACGGUGCAAAAAGUCAAACAAAAACAAUGUCGCAGGCUGUCAAGCGUAUGCCAAAGCAACAGUUGGCGCUAUAACUCCAAAUCAUAAGGCCAUUUUGAAGACAGUUACUUCCAUAAAAGGCGCACAAAUAAUAAUAGAAAAUCAAGGAAAAGCUGACUUUUGGACUGAGAGUGUAGUUCAAGUGGAGUCUUAAAUAUUACACUGUUUUUUGAUUGGUUCAUUUCAUUCAACAAAAAUUCCAUUUGCCAUUCGGAAGUGUUGAGCAAAUUCCCACAUUCGCAACAAAAUAUAGCGCAAUCGCUCACGUUGCCCUGACGAUCAACAAACCUGCUGUAAUAAACGCAGCGCCCGUGGCGACCGCACUCCAGCCGUUUGACGCACACGCACAACUUCAUUUACUCACACGCAGUGCGGCAUUUGUGCGCAAACAGCAGGCCACCUGUCAGCCCCGUCAAAGAAGUUCAUCGGCCGGCCCACUGGCGCAGUUCGGGCCGACCGCAUCGCAAGCUCAUUAAGUGGCUGAUGACCUUCAAAAUAAAACAACUUGAUUCAAGGCGCCCGUGCCAGACAAGAGGGCAGCAGCUGUCGCUGCGUCGAAGCUGCGCAAGAAAAUUCCACAGAGGAGUAUUGGUGAAACAUGGAAGAGAAAAAAUACAAGCGUCAGAAAAACGUCAUCUUAUGAGAAUAAAAACAAGUCCGAAGUUCAACUCCAGACAUUCUACAUUCCCUCCCAAACAUAAACGUUUGGGACCGACGCACUCUCUUUCGCUCUCUUGCUCUGCCACAAUCCCAAUUAGACGGUUGGAUUCCUUUCACAGCCAUAAUUAAUAGACGAAAUUAAAUGGCGACGCUUUCUAUUACAUUUCAUCCUCCCUUUUGCAGCGCGUCAAACAACCAAGCCAAUCAUUGCUUCACAAAAAACGAAAUGGCUUCCUGUGGUAAUGUAUCCGAUUGAAUUGACAUUGUUUUUUUCUUUCGAGCUCUCUGGAGUUUUAGCGAUGUUAAUAAUUGACCAAUCAGGUUGCACUAACAAGGCUGUCAGAACGCGUUAGCGUCAACCGCCAAUCACUGCCCGCUGAGUCGUCUCCCGGGGCAACAGUUAGCCAAUGACCUGCAUGAGCGAUGCCUCUGAGCGAUGGCAAUCAAGCGCCACAAGCUGAUACACAAAGUCCAAAUCCGCGCUCAUUGCGGUGCGCGGCGCUCGAAAGCCACGCUAAUCGGGAACAAAGACGCGAGCCGCCAUUAGCGGCCCGAAGCUGCGGGGCAGGAGCGCAGACGCGCACUCUCACCUAUUUCGACACACAUCCAGCUUUGUGCGUCCUUUAAGAUCACCGCUGCCUCCGGCGCGCAAAAACAUCCCGGCAGUCUUUUCAUGCUGCUGUAUUGUACGCCUCCUCUUCCAUCUUAACCUCUUUGUCUCGCCAUCCAUUACACCGCGCUCCUCCUUAACCUCAUUUCCUCGUUUCCACGGCCUUGACAAAACUUUUCAACGUCACCCCCGAUCCUCAAUAACAUACGUACAGUGACGUACGACUCGGAUCUGUCAGGCAAUCAUCGUACAAAUUGAAAAUAUAUCGGUUACGAUCUCAGUGAAUUUUAACACGAGCGUGACCAAAUUCUGAUUGAUUUUGAAAAAAAGCAUCUAUUUGGCAUGUAUUCGUCCACAGCGGUCUGGCUUGCGUCCUAACACCGUCCUCGGUGCAUGUUUUUGGGAUGCGGGAAGAACACGGAGCACCCGGAGAAAACCCACGCAGGUACGGGGAGAACAUGCAAACUCCACACAGGCGAACCCGGAUUUGAACACGCAACCUCACAACGGUGAGGCAGACGUGCUAACCGGUCGGCCACCGUGCCGCCCCGUACAAGAAAGAUUUUGAAAAUAGCUUUGCUCGCCCCACAUGCUUUCAACAAACGUAUAAAAACCCAAAAUGUAUUUGAACAUAAAAGGCUAAAUAGCAAACAUAAAACGGAGAGAAAACACUGCACUGUAGUGUCUGUGUACAUGCUUGUGCCUUUAAGAGGCGGGGCCCGGUGGGGUGGCGUCUGUGCGAGCUCGGGUGUGAGCUGUGGCAGACAGCAGCGCCUGUGUGAGUGUGCUCAUUGCGUGUUUUUCUGUUCUCCUGACAUUCAAUAAACUGCUGAAAGCGCAUCGGCUUUCCCGCAUUCGAGGGCAUUGUCAUAGCGGCGGGCACUAUUUGGACAAAAGCCAUGUUGUGAAAGUUGCCAGUGGCAAAGCAGAACAUAACAGAAAAGCAGUAGUCCAAAUACAACUCAGGACUUUCAAAUGCCACCAACUCGUGAUAUAUAACAGAUUGCAUUCAAGAAGUAGCUCGCCCGACACAAUAUCUGCGGGGGGGCCGAGUGAGCUUCUUGCGGGCACGAGACGGCGGGUUGCCUCUUCACGUGGCCGCCAGUGGAGCCUACGUUAACAACACACUCGCCAAGUGCGCUCCCAUCCGGCCCCCGUCCCACCGCGGACUGCGAAUCAAACACUGACACACUAACGAACACACACACACACGCGCAUGCCGCUCUUAGCUUUCAUUUUCACUGCGCAUGUGAAUGAUCACCAGAGUGCAAACGAACACAGAAAGCGGCCAUCUGCUCCAACACGCGAGUGUGUAGAGCGAGAGGAGCAUAUUCCAGGGAACGCUGCAGCACACAAAGCCAGAGAAGAAAGAUGCUUGUGUGACCGAGACACGCAGCGAGCUAAUCCCAAUUUUAUUUUUCCAGUGGGGAAGUGGAUUAGAGGAGGAUUAGAUUGACCUGAAACCUCACAGUCCUUAAUUGCUGCCAUGGAAACGGCUGUUCUGGCAUCAGCUCCCCCCCACCCCCUGCACUUCAAUUCGAAGCAUCCAUUCUGCUUGACUAGCAGCCGUCAUUAGCGUCAACACACCACCUUUGGGAAGGCAGGGGAGGCGUCACGUGUCACAAGAGCUCAAGAUUGUCGUCCUUGAAAUGGACAUUGGAAGAAGAGAAGCUGAAGGUUGGCCACGGAAAGAAAGAGGAAGCAGCCAAGCCAGACCGAUGGCCUCCAUCUCCCCAAUCAGAUGAUUGGGGGGCCACGACGACCGGGGGAAAUAAAGCAGCAGAUGAUGGAAGACAUUUUAAAACGUGACUUCAAAUAUGUAACGCGCACGCACACGUACGCAUUCGGUUCAAAUCAGCCAUGUCGUGCCCGCAUCCCGAAACUUCUGAACCUCUCUCUACACACACACGGAGCGAGCCGGCUAUUACCUGUGUGGCUUUUGUCUGCACAUGCAGGUUGUCAGGCGAUAAUGCGCCUAAUACGUUUUUCCUCUCCUGGCCUCAAGUCAAGCGCCCCCAUCGACCCCUCAACCUUCAUCAAGCAACACUACGCGAUGUAUUCCGAUAGCGCCGCAUCCCGUCUUUUACGAUCGCUGGCCUUUAUCUUAUAUUAACGGGAAACGUUACCAUGGCGACGAUAACAACCAUAGAUCACGCCAAUGUAUUGUAUUGUGUUGGGGAAAAGAAGAACAAAUAGAGGAAAAACGUGUGGCGUCACCGGUGCUCGGGAGCGGACGUUUUGGGCUUGCCAUCCAAGGAGAGCUUGAGGUACAUUCACGUACUUUUAAUACGAUGCAGCUCGCAAGCAGGCGUAUGUAGCCUAGCAAGCUCCUGCUAGCACUCAUGUUUGUAUGUAAACAUGCCAGCGUUCUGUCUGAUCACGCGCUAAAGCUUCAGUAAACAUCGGUUCGUGCGCAUGAAUAAAUGGCGAGCAAGGGAGGCGAAGCGCCAGUCCCAAUAAGCAAUCUUACUGGUCGACGUCAAGGUGCGCUGUCGGAGAGUUGUCAUUGAUAUGUCACACUACAUGGAAGAUAUCGCAAAAAACAAACAUGCUAGACUUUUCAUUUUAGCGUUGUAGAACUAUCGUUGGGGCCGAUCUGGCAAAUUGUCUGCGAUAGCUAAUCGGGCCAAUAUCGGGCCUAAAAGCUUGUAGGAAUCGGUGUUAGUGUGAAUGCUUGUUUGUCUAAAUGUGCCCUACCUUUGACCGGCGACCAGUGCACGUUGUAAUAAGCCUAUCGCCCAAAGUCUCCUGGGAUAGGCUCUCGCCCAGCCGUGACCCUGAAGAGGUCGACCAGCAGAGAAGAUGGGCGGAUGGAUCAAGACUAGAUGAGAAAUGCAUUACAUAUUAGUCAGCCAUCCAUUUUCUUGUUCAUCUUGUUUUCCUGCUCGGGGUCGCGGGGAACUAGUGUCUCUAUCCCAGCGGACUUUAGGCGACGAUAGGUGGACUACGCCCUCGAAUGGGCGCCAAUCAAUCACAGGGCACAUAUGGAGACAGACGCCAAGGACAAAUUCGAGUCGUCAGUGAAGCCAAGGUGCUCGUUUUUGGAAAGCGGAGAACCUGCAGUCAAGCCACGCCAGAACAGGUAGAACACGCAAAGAGGAAUGUUGCAGCCCGGAUUCAAACCCACAACUUGUCAAUGGUUUGUAAUACCUUUCUAUUGUUUUACAGAAAUGAGAGAAAAUGCAGACCGUGACUUUGCUAUUUUCUUAUUUUUUACAUUUUGACAAAAACAAUCCAUGUCCAGAAUCUUUCAUAUUCUUUGUGAAUACAGACAUGUUUCAUGUUUAUUCAAAUGUGUGCAAAUGGUUACAUUGACUCAAAAUAAUAUCCAUUCAAUAAAUAAAAAUUGACUUGAAGAAAUGGUGCCAGGGUAUUUAUAAUGUUGGUAUUAUGUGGAGACAUACACACAUUAAAUAUACAAUAGAACAAACAUUUUCUAGAUUUAAGAAUUUGUUUACCUAAAAUUUCACCGAGAGGUCAAGUCAUCUUGAAAAAUAAUCGUUAAAAGCAACUCAGAUUUCUCAAAUGUGUCUGUCUUGAAACAAGAACAAUUCUCACAUUGCCUUAUUCUUCCCCAGUUGUUAUCUUUUAAUGACC
This is a long non-coding RNA of Phyllopteryx taeniolatus (common seadragon), 5057 nucleotides long. RefSeq lists it as uncharacterized. The record is from RefSeq and is a predicted model, not a curated record. The transcript has 3 exons. Lineage: Eukaryota; Metazoa; Chordata; Actinopteri; Syngnathiformes; Syngnathidae.